Molecule: ribosomal RNA, 554 nt
Filed under: uncultured bacterium
Lineage: Bacteria
Description: partial 16S ribosomal RNA
Rfam family: Bacterial small subunit ribosomal RNA
Source: RNAcentral
UGGGGAAUUUUGGACAAUGGGCGCAAGCCUGAUCCAGCCAUGCCGCGUGCGGGAAGAAGGCCUUCGGGUUGUAAACCGCUUUUGUCAGGGGAGAAAUCUUCUGAGUUAAUACCUCGGGAGGAUGACGGUACCUGAAGAAUAAGCACCGGCUAACUACGUGCCAGCAGCCGCGGUAAUACGUAGGGUGCAAGCGUUAAUCGGAAUUACUGGGCGUAAAGCGUGCGCAAGCGGUUUUGUAAGACAGAGGUGAAAUCCCCGGGCUCAACCUGGGAACUGCCUUUGUGACUGCAAGGCUUGAGUGCGGCAGAGGGGGAUGGAAUUCCGCGUGUAGCAGUGAAAUGCGUAGAUAUGCGGAGGAACACCGAUGGCGAAGGCAAUCCCCUGGGCCUGCACUGACGCUCAUGCACGAAAGCGUGGGGAGCAAAACAGGAUUAGAUACCCUGGUAGUCCACGCCCUAAACGAUGUCAACUGGUUGUUGGGGAAGGUUCCUUCUCAGUAACGUAGCUAACGCGUGAAGUUGACCGCCUGGGGAGUACGGCCGCAAGGUUGAAAC